Non-coding RNA from Podarcis lilfordi (Lilford's wall lizard), 78 nucleotides. The record is from the annotation of a GenBank genome assembly. Lineage: Eukaryota; Metazoa; Chordata; Lepidosauria; Squamata; Lacertidae.
GACUCAAGUAGCUCAGUCGGCAGAGAGUAAGACUCUUAAUCUCAGGGUCGCAGGUUAGAACCCCACAAUGGUGGGUCA